GGUCCUUUAGCUCAGUUGGUAGAGCAUUCUGUUUGCAAAGCAAGGGUUGUGGGUUCGAUUCCCGGGACCA
Molecule: transfer RNA, 70 nt
Filed under: Salmo salar (Atlantic salmon)
Lineage: Eukaryota; Metazoa; Chordata; Actinopteri; Salmoniformes; Salmonidae
Rfam family: tRNA
About the family: Transfer RNA (tRNA) molecules are approximately 80 nucleotides in length. Their secondary structure includes four short double-helical elements and three loops (D, anti-codon, and T loops).
Source: Rfam by way of RNAcentral